Daphnia pulicaria is the source of this 556-nucleotide long non-coding RNA. RefSeq lists it as uncharacterized. The record is from RefSeq and is a predicted model, not a curated record. The transcript is spliced from 3 exons. Lineage: Eukaryota; Metazoa; Arthropoda; Branchiopoda; Diplostraca; Daphniidae.
UACGAAGUUCAAUUUGGUAUUUGAAAUCACAGGAAUAUAAGUAUAAAUUAGCAACAAUUUGUUUCGCACUUUUCUCCUCGUUUCACGACGUCAGAACAACAUGGGCGACACUGGCGACAUCUAGUAAUGAGUUUUGAAUCUUAAGUUAGUUGCACUGUCAGUCAGUCACAGACAGACAUGACAUUACACGUCGUAACUUUCAUAAGUUAUUUCAUAAGUUACUUAAAAAGUUUAACAGCAGAGAUCGGAUAACAUGUCACUUUUUUUAAAAUAAUUUCAGCUGAAGUUUUCAUGUGGGCCUACCUGGCCAACUAUGUGCUCAUGACAAUAGAAAUGAAAUGGUCUAAUCCAAUAAUGCAUGCCCACAACCUUAUGUCUUCUGAAGCAAAAUAAUUUAUGUUGCAAGUUGUAAAUCAUCAAAAUAUUGAUGCUUUCGCCAGAGUCGAUUCUAUGUUGCUAUCUAUUUUGCGGACAACAGCAAGAAAAUGCUGCUACUCAAGAUUUUAUGGUGACCAACACUUUGUUGUAAUUUAGGGCAAUGUAAGGUUGAUAGAUU